UACGUAGGGGGCAAGCGUUGUCCGGAUUUAUUGGGCGUAAAGAGCGUGUAGGCGGCCUGACAGGUCUGCUGUGAAAACUCGAGGCUCAACCUCGAGAUGUCGGCGGAAACCGUCUGGCUAGAGUCCGGAAGAGGAGAGUGGAAUUCCUGGUGUAGCGGUGAAAUGCGCAGAUAUCGGGAGGAACACCAGUGGCGAAGGCGGCUAUCUGGGCUGAAACUGACGCUGAGGCGCGAAGGCUAGGGGAGCAAACAGG
RNAcentral lists this ribosomal RNA (253 nucleotides) under uncultured bacterium. Its description in RNAcentral is "partial 16S ribosomal RNA". It matches the Rfam family "Bacterial small subunit ribosomal RNA", at positions 524 to 776 of the family's 1533-position model. The record is from RNAcentral.